RNAcentral lists this ribosomal RNA (465 nucleotides) under uncultured bacterium. RNAcentral's name for it is "partial 16S ribosomal RNA". It matches the Rfam family "Bacterial small subunit ribosomal RNA", at positions 28 to 507 of the family's 1533-position model. The record is from RNAcentral.
GACGAACGCUGGCGGCGUGCUUAACACAUGCAAGUCGAACGGAAAGGCCCCUUUGGGGGUACUCGAGUGGCGAAGGGGUGAGUAACACGUGAGUAACCUGCCCUUGACUUCGGGAUAACUUCAGGAAACUGGGGCUAAUACCGGAUAGGAAUCCUUGCUGCAUGGUGGGGGUUGGAAAGCUUCGGCGGUUUUGGAUGGACUCGCGGCUUAUCAGCUUGUUGGUGGGGUAGUGGCUUACCAAGGCUUUGACGGGUAGCCGGCCUGAGAGGGCGACCGGCCACAUUGGGACUGAGAUACGGCCCAGACUCCUACGGGAGGCAGCAGUGGGGAAUAUUGCACAAUGGGCGGAAGCCUGAUGCAGCAACGCCGCGUGCGGGAUGACGGCCUUCGGGUUGUAAACCGCUUUCAGCAGGGGCGAAGCUUGUGGUGACGGUACCUGCAGAAGAAGCACCGGCUAACUACGUG